AGGCAAGAUGUUGGCAUAACUGACAACAAUUCGAAAGGAUUAAUUUCAGUUACGUUAGCACUUACCAGA
Molecule: microRNA precursor, 69 nt
Filed under: Schmidtea mediterranea
Lineage: Eukaryota; Metazoa; Platyhelminthes; Tricladida; Dugesiidae
Description: Sme-Mir-31-P19_pre stem-loop
Source: RNAcentral